RNAcentral lists this transfer RNA (65 nucleotides) under Tricula hortensis. Its description in RNAcentral is "tRNA-Tyr". It matches the Rfam family "tRNA". From Rfam's summary of the family: Transfer RNA (tRNA) molecules are approximately 80 nucleotides in length. Their secondary structure includes four short double-helical elements and three loops (D, anti-codon, and T loops). The record is from RNAcentral. Lineage: Eukaryota; Metazoa; Mollusca; Gastropoda; Littorinimorpha; Pomatiopsidae.
UGUUUGGUGGCCGAGUUUAGGCAAUAGACUGUAGAUUUAUUAACGGAAUUAAAUUUCCCCAACAA